CAGCAGCCGCGGGAAUACGAAGGGUGCAAGCGUUAAUCGGAAUUACUGGGCGUAAAGCGUGCGUAGGCGGUUUGUUAAGUCUGUUGUGAAAUCCCCGGGCUCAACCUGGGAAUGGCAAUGGAUACUGGCAAGCUAGAGUGUGUCAGAGGAUGGUGGAAUUCCCGGUGUAGCGGUGAAAUGCGUAGAGAUCGGGAGGAACAUCAGUGGCGAAGGCGGCCAUCUGGGACAAUACUGACGCUGAGGCACGAAAGCAUGGGGAGCAAACAGGAUUAGAUACCCCAGUAGUCCCUGUCUCUUAUAC
RNAcentral lists this ribosomal RNA (301 nucleotides) under uncultured bacterium. RNAcentral's name for it is "partial 16S ribosomal RNA". It matches the Rfam family "Bacterial small subunit ribosomal RNA", at positions 509 to 807 of the family's 1533-position model. The record is from RNAcentral.